Molecule: long non-coding RNA, 830 nt
Organism: Thalassophryne amazonica
Lineage: Eukaryota; Metazoa; Chordata; Actinopteri; Batrachoidiformes; Batrachoididae
Exons: 4
Source: RefSeq, a predicted model, not a curated record
CCAACAGGCCACCAGGGGGCACUACUGUAAUCAGUGCUUGAAUCACACGAUUCAAGAAUUCCGCAAUUAGAACUGAAAAAAAAAAAAUCUAAAAUCACUUUGCGUCUGUGGUUGAACAAACGCUUCACCUCGCCUUCAUAAUUGGUAAUUGUUUUUUGUGGGGUGGGGGACGGUUUGUUUAAUCUGGAGUCCAUCUGUCCUCUGACCUUUAUCCUGUUGACAACUGGACUUUAAAUCUGCAGUCGUGCACCUCAGUGCCGUUUUGACAGAUGUGCACGUUGUCUGCUGGCUUUUCCACUUCACCACAGGGGGGCGCUGUCACGUACAGUACCAGAAAGUGCAGCAUAGAAGAAGCUGACCUGUUAGCAUCGCGUUUGUGUGCAGAUGUUCAUAUUUUUAUGUUUAAUGUAAACGCUGAAGUCUGUUUUUUCGAGGUUUGUGUGCAUCGUGCAGCCAAAAAGACUCGUAGUGACAAAUGGGCGGGGCUACGUGUUAGUGUCUGAAUUAAAUACUUUUAAGAACUUUGCGACUCAGGUGAUUUUUCAGCUGAAGUUUGGAUUCCAGCAGAGAUUUUUCAGUUUGAACUAGAUUUUUUUUUUUAAAGACGAUUUGACGGACGCGAGGCUUCAUUCAUGUUCAGCUCCCUGAUAAACCACGUGGCUUCAUUUGGACACGCCCCCUCUGAACCUCAGCGCUUCGACUUCAGGAGUCACUGAGGAAAAAGACGGUGACAGAUCCAGAAAGAUGACAUCAAACUGACCACAGUGACUGCGUGGGUGAGUUCACUGCUCAGGGACAGUUUAUCCAAAGUAAACUACUACGUUUUCCAC